Non-coding RNA from Cajanus cajan (pigeon pea), 388 nucleotides. The record is from RefSeq and is a predicted model, not a curated record. Lineage: Eukaryota; Viridiplantae; Streptophyta; Magnoliopsida; Fabales; Fabaceae.
UUUUCUCUCCUAAAGGACUAAGGCACUAGACACAACAUUCAGUGAUUAUAUGUUUAUCCUUUGAUGCAGAUGCAGAUGCAGUCCUUGAUUCUUCCCUUGAUCGGCUGGUUUGCUAAGCAUAAGGGGUGGCAGAAUCACACGCUUUCAGAUAGCACUUUGUGUUACAAUUAUUACAGUAGGUGUUAUGUCAAGUGGUUUCGGAUCAUUCUCAGCCCUCUCUGAGAUAAUUGAAGAAUUGUUUCGAUGAAGUUUUGUGGCUUAAAUCCUAGACUAUGAGAUAUGUAGCAACCAAAGUCUAGCGCACCUACAAUUCUACACAAUUUUUAAUUUCUCAUCUCAAUUGUUUAGUCAUUUUUCUAUGAUAGUCGAUUUCCCAUUGUUUGUGACA